Molecule: ribosomal RNA, 976 nt
Filed under: Dictyocaulus viviparus (bovine lungworm)
Lineage: Eukaryota; Metazoa; Nematoda; Chromadorea; Rhabditida; Metastrongylidae
Description: SSU rRNA
Rfam family: Eukaryotic small subunit ribosomal RNA
Source: RNAcentral
UUUCUAGUGACUAGCGAGUUUACUUUGAAUAAAUUAGAGUGCUCAAAACAAGCGUUUGCUUGAAUCGUUGAUCAUGGAAUAAUAGAAGAGGACUUCGGUUCUAUUUAUUGGUUCAGGAACUGGAGUAAUGGUUAAGAGGGACAAUUCGGGGGCAUUCGUAUCCCUGCGCGAGAGGUGAAAUUCGUGGACCGCAGGGGGACGCCCUAAAGCGAAAGCAUUUGCCAAGAAUGUCUUCAUUAAUCAAGAACGAAAGUCAGAGGUUCGAAGGCGAUUAGAUACCGCCCUAGUUCUGACCGUAAACUAUGCCAUCUAGCGAUCCGACGGGGUAUUGUUGCGUUGUCGAGGAGCUUCCCGGAAACGAAAGUCUUUCGGUUCCUGGGGUAGUAUGGUUGCAAAGCUGAAACUUAAAGAAAUUGACGGAAUGGCACCACCAGGAGUGGAGCCUGCGGCUUAAUUUGACCCAACACGGGAAAACUCACCCGGCCCGGACACCGUAAGGAUUGACAGAUUGAAAGCUCUUUCUCGAUUUGGUGGUUGGUGGUGCAUGGCCGUUCUUAGUUGGUGGAGCGAUUUGUCUGGUUUAUUCCGAUAACGAGCGAGACUCUAGCCUGCUAAAUAGUGGCUGGAUUGAUUUUCUUCUAGAAUAUGUCCAGUCUACUUCUUAGAGGGAUAAGCGGUGUUUAGCCGCACGAGAUUGAGCGAUAACAGGUCUGUGAUGCCCUUAGAUGUUCGGGGCUGCACGCGCGCUACAAUGGAAGAAACAGCUGGCUUGUCCAUUACCGAAAGGUGUUGGUAAACCGUUGAAUAUCUUCCGUGACCGGGAUAGGGAAUUGUAAUUAUUCCCCUUAAACGAGGAAUUCCUAGUAAGUGUGAGUCAUCAGCUCACGCUGAUUACGUCCCUGCCAUUUGUACACACCGCCCGCGUAAUCGAAUUCCCGCGGCCGCCAUGGCGGCCGGAGCAUGCGACUCGCCACUU